RNAcentral lists this ribosomal RNA (478 nucleotides) under uncultured bacterium. RNAcentral's name for it is "partial 16S ribosomal RNA". It matches the Rfam family "Bacterial small subunit ribosomal RNA", at positions 28 to 507 of the family's 1533-position model. The record is from RNAcentral.
GAUGAACGCUGGCGGCGUGCUUAACACAUGCAAGUCGAACGGGAAUUAUUUUAUUGAAACUUCGGUCGAUUUAAUUUAAUUCUAGUGGCGGACGGGUGAGUAACGCGUGGGUAACCUGCCUUAUACAGGGGGAUAACAGUCAGAAAUGGCUGCUAAUACCGCAUAAGCGCACAGAGCUGCAUGGCUCAGUGUGAAAAACUCCGGUGGUAUAAGAUGGACCCGCGUUGGAUUAGCUGGUUGGUGGGGUAACGGCCCACCAAGGCGACGAUCCAUAGCCGGCCUGAGAGGGUGAACGGCCACAUUGGGACUGAGACACGGCCCAGACUCCUACGGGAGGCAGCAGUGGGGAAUACUGCACAAUGGGGGAAACCCUGAUGCAGCGACGCCGCGUGAAGGAAGAAGUAUCUCGGUAUGUAAACUUCUAUCAGCAGGGAAGAUAGUGACGGUACCUGACUAAGAAGCCCCGGCUAACUACGUG